RNAcentral lists this non-coding RNA (46 nucleotides) under Schistosoma curassoni. The record is from RNAcentral. Lineage: Eukaryota; Metazoa; Platyhelminthes; Trematoda; Strigeidida; Schistosomatidae.
GCACUGCCGAGGAGUCCCAUGGCGGGACGAAACGGCCGUCCAGUGC